This 450-nucleotide ribosomal RNA is filed under the name uncultured bacterium. Its description in RNAcentral is "bacterial SSU rRNA". It matches the Rfam family "Bacterial small subunit ribosomal RNA", at positions 917 to 1382 of the family's 1533-position model. The record is from RNAcentral.
GGGCCCGCACAAGCAGCGGAGCGUGUGGUUUAAUUCGAGGCUACACGAAGAACCUUACCUGGGUUUGACAUAUACGUAGUAGGGAACUGAAAAGGGACCGACCUUCGGGAGCGUAUACAGGUGCUGCAUGGCUGUCGUCAGCUCGUGCCGUGAGGUGUUCGGUUAAGUCCGCAAACGAGCGCAACCCCUGGUGCUAGUUACACGUGUCUAGCGCGACUGCCCGUGAGAAACGGGAGGAAGGUGGGGAUGACGUCAAGUCAGCAUGGCCUUUAUAUCCAGGGCUACACACACGCUACAAUGGGCGGUACAAUGGGUCGCGAAGCCGCGAGGUGGAGCCAAUCCUGAAAGCCGUUCGUAGUUCGGAUUGCAGGCUGCAACCCGCCUGCAUGAAGUCGGAGUUGCUAGUAACCGCAGGUCAGCUAUACUGCGGUGAAUACGUUCCCGGGCCUU